CUAUCUUUGGCUUUUUCAUACUCAAUAUAACAUCAAAGUAGGUUUCUACUUUUAAAAAUCCCAAGGAAAGUUAAUGCUGUGUUGAACAAGACUAUUUAUUUAUUUGAUAUCCUUAACCCUGACAGCAACGAGGAAGGAGGUAUUAGCAUCCCCAUUUUAUAUAUGAGGAACCCGAGGCUCUGAAAUGCUGGUUUGCCCAAGGCCACACUGGAAAUGCAGCAUGAAGCUGGGCUACAAACCCAGAUCUGGCUGCAGGGAGCCAGCUUCUGCUUCCAGUAACUGAAUAAUGACCCUGUGUACUGGAUUUGCAAAGCAGAAAUGACCUUCAGCAAUGUUAGCACUGCAGCCAGAGUGAUUUUUCAAAAUCAGGCAUCCCCAGUCUCCUCCCCCCUCCUAAAGCCUAUCAGUGACUUCCCAUUGCUCUUAGGAGGGAAGAAAACCAAGAAGGCCCAGAAGCUCUGAACAAGUGGACUCCCUCCUGCUACCCAUUCAAGGUCUCCCCAGCCAGCCCCAGCUCCACUGUGCCCCCCAUACCCACACACCACCCUAAAUCUCCAUCACUCUGCUGCAGCCCCACUUCCUUUCAGUGUUUAUAUUCUUUUCUCUCCCACCUCAGGGCCUUUGCAUGGGCUAUUGUUGCUUCCAAAAUCAGUCUUCCUUCUUCUCUUUCCUUUCUCAUUCCUCAGAUACAGCUGAAUAUCUGUUUUUCAGGUCCUUCGUUGUCUGUCCUGAAUAGCCAAGCCAGAACCCAUAAUAUGUGCUUAUAGUCCCAUGUGCCUCUCUUUUAGAGUGCUUGCUGCUGUGGGUAUUUACACCGCUUCAUAAUUUUCAGUUAGCCCCCGCCAGCCUCCCACUUCACUGUGGCCUUCCUCAGGAGGGGGCCAGGUGUGUAUUCACUCACUAUUAUUUCCCCAGCACUUAGCAUGGGGCCUGGCACUAGGAAGGGGCUCAAUAAAUAUUGGUUGAAUAAAUAAAUCAGCAAUGGGGAGUCAGAGAAUAAAGCUUCCCUUAAGUCUUAUGCAGUAGGUUCAGCAUUCUGUUCAUUGUUGUCUCUGCUGUUUUGGCUUCCAGGAUGACUAUAGCCCUGUCAAAGCUACAAGCAUUUUGUUAAGGGACUUGCAUAUUCUGAAAUCAAACUUCCAAUGGUGCCAGGAGAAACAGAGAGGCUGCCGACCUGCUGCCCAGCUGUCCGAGCUGUCUAAGACCUGCUCUUCUGCCUCCGUUCACAUUACUCUGCGCUUUGUGAGGUUUGUCUCACCAGCUGAAUUCUGUCUGCUCAGAGAACAGGGACGAGGUCAUAACCUUCUGUGUCUCUAGUCUGCCAGGCCCUAGAAGGAUCAUGCCAGUGGGUUGAAUGAUUCAAUCUCAGGCCAUUCUGAAAGGCCAGAACAAUUGUAACUGGACUUGAGUUACCCAUUUAUCAGAAAGAUAUUUUCUGCACUUUAGAAGGAAACCGGAAGUGGCUUUCAGCCUUCAUUCAUUCAUUCAACAAGUAUUUAUCCUGCACCUACUCCCUGCCGGGCGUGCUGCCAAACCCUGCAGAUUCAGUGGUAAAGAAGACAGAAUCCCUGCUCUCCUGGAGCUUGUGUUCCCACGAGAGGGAGAAUGGACAGUGCUCACAUAAAUAGAAAUGGCCUGGGAAUGCAAAGCCCUCUAAUGGAAAAUGAAGCACAAAAAUGGGCACAGGAAGGAGGUGUGGCAGAGAGGCAGGCCCUUGGGUAGGGGAAGCAGGGAAAAUUCUAGGACUUAAAUGUAUCAGAAAUCACAGGUAAAAUGGCCUGGUAUGAAGAGCCUGAAACCAGAAAGCCUCCCUUCCUUCCUCAGAUCGUGCCAGAGUUGGGAACCGUGGGCAGCCCUCCCCGGGUCGCCUGUACAGAAGUGGAGUCAUCCUCCCUGGAAGCCAAGGGAGAGAGAAGAGAUCGCUGCCUGUACAGCAGGAAGAGAAUCUCGGGUGUCUGAACACCCCAGGAUGUGACUGGUUUGGCUAAGCCUGAGGUUUCUGCCUUAUGCGGAUGCCACCCCACCCCCAGAGCUUCUGUCUGUGCCUUUGAAGGACAUUUUGUCACUCAAGAAGUUAUUCAGUUGGGGGAAAUUACCUGAAAAGUUGCAUACACCAAGCUCCCACAGUGAAACGUCCUGAAUAUUCAUUUAGAUCAUUGUUGCCUUUCAUAUUUGUCUUCUGUGAAUGUACAUACAGCCCCAUAUAGCAAAGUCCACUUCCCAGGUUGGGGAGCCCCUCGAGCAAGUUUAUAGGAGUAAGGCCAUAACCAUCUUUACCAUGAGGAUAACCUACUGCCUUAUUAUUAAUCACCAUCCCUACCCUGGAGGCAUUAGUGAUUCAGAAGUUUCUGCUGAGGACUGAAUGAGGAAAUAUGCUCAGCACAGCACCUGACAUGUAUGUAAGCAGUACGAAUAUUAUUAUUUUAAGUGUGCCUACUAAGUCCCUUUUCUUCACAAAGUGUGUGUUUCUUGUCAGGUACUAAGUCAACCACAACUGCAGUUCAGAUGCAGUUUGCUAGAAGCUGCUGUAAGUGGAUCCCCAGGUAUGUGGCUACUCUGACCAGAGCGAUGGUGUGCUUUGGCUGACGUCACUCACGGUCUGAGUGGUCUGCAGUCAGUGAUAUGCAGGAACAACUAUAUUGUACUCAGCCCAUCCCAGUUUUACUUGUUCGAAGGAACUGACAAUGUCCAGUUCAGUAGAUUCUACAGGUAAAAUGCUCCAAACACAUCUAACCAUAGAAGCUACAUGUUCGUUUAUUAUUGCUUUCUUU
This is a long non-coding RNA of Manis pentadactyla (Chinese pangolin), 2771 nucleotides long. RefSeq lists it as uncharacterized. The record is from RefSeq and is a predicted model, not a curated record. The transcript has 3 exons. Lineage: Eukaryota; Metazoa; Chordata; Mammalia; Pholidota; Manidae.